AAGUUUUGGUCCUAAACUUGCCAUUGUUUUUUAUCAAAAUUAUACAUGCAAGCCUCCACGUACCAGUGAAAAUGCCCAUAUACACCUUAAACAGUUAACCGGAGCGGGCAUCAGGAUACAACAUUUAACUUAGCCUAGGACGCCUUGCUAUGCCACACCCACACGGGCUUUCAGCAGUAGUUAACUUUAAAACAUGAGCGAAAGCUCGACUUAGUUAUGAUAUUAUAUGGUCGGUAAAUUUCGUGCCAGCCACCGCGGUUAUACGAAGGACCAAAAACAAUGACCAACGGCGUAAAGCGUGACUAGAAAUAUACCUACUAUUUAAAGGAAAACAACCACCAAGUCGUAAAACACUACUGUGUGUUAGAACCACAACCAAACAUGCCUUUAAACUGGUUUACCUCACGAAAACUAAGAAACAAACUGGGAUUAGAUACCCCACUAUGCUUAGCCCUUAACAAAGAUAGUAAAAGCACAAUACUAUCCGCCAGAGAACUAUAAGCUAAAAGCUAAAAACUCCAAGGACUUGGCGGCACUUCAAAUCAAUCUAGAGGAGCCUGUCCUAUAAUCGAUAAUCCACGUUUCACCUCACCACCCCUAGCCAAUCAGCCUAUAUACCGCCGUCGUCAGCCUACCUUAUGAAAGAAGUAAAGUAAGCAAAAAAGUUAACAACUAACACGUCAGGUCAAGGUGUAGUUAACGGAGUGGAAGAGAUGGGCUACAUUUCUUCAAAGAAAAAACACGAACAGUAAACUGAAACGUGUACUCGAAGGCGGAUUUAGUAGUAAAAUAAGAAAUGAAUACCUAUUUAAAAUAUGCUCUGAAGCGCGCACACACCGCCCGUCACCCUCAUCA
This 855-nucleotide non-coding RNA is filed under the name Eulamprus kosciuskoi. The record is from RNAcentral. Lineage: Eukaryota; Metazoa; Chordata; Lepidosauria; Squamata; Scincidae.